Molecule: long non-coding RNA, 602 nt
Organism: Lactuca sativa (garden lettuce)
Lineage: Eukaryota; Viridiplantae; Streptophyta; Magnoliopsida; Asterales; Asteraceae
Source: RefSeq, a predicted model, not a curated record
GUUCAUGCCAGAUUUUCAAAACAUGAACUAAAACUACAAAUUUCAUGAAACCAUAGGUACCAUAUCUAUAAUUCAGUCUUAAAUCAGGUCAAAACACAACUUCCCGAAUUCUUGAUAAAGCCUUGGCAGCGCUUCCCCCAUUCCCAACUAUGGCUAUACAGAAUACACAACUAGGGUUACGACAGGCAGCCGUCAAUGCCAUGGCUUCAAUCAAUCAAAAGACGAUGAUAAUACAUGAUAAAAUGAUUCUGCACCUCCAAACACUCCAGUGGUUUUCGACUUGCAGCAGCUGUUAUUAAUCGUAGUUUAAUUGAAACUUUCGUAUCUUUUUUUGGGAAAUCGAGGAAGUAUUUGGUAGAAUCGCUUUUUGAUCGAUGUAAACCAUGGGAUCUACAAAAUGAUAGUGUUGUAAACUAAAUCUUAACUGGCAAUGAUGAAAAAAAGGCCGGACUUACAGCUGCUACCUUAAAUAUGGUUGGUAGUAGAUUGAUGAGACGUUCUAUAAGGUUAUUUCUGAGCCAAUGGUUGAUUUUUAUAUUUCUGUACCUUUUCAAAUUCAGAUGACUGUUUAUUGUGAGCUUGCUAAGUUUUCUUAACUCAAA